CCGUUUCUCUCCUCAGCCCGCACACUGAACACAGCAUCUGCUCUGCCCCCGUCAGGAUAGUCUGCUCGAAGAAGAGCGACAGGCAAUCCUGCUCAACAAAGAGACAGAAGGAAGGUUCUGCAGAGCUCGUCAUGUCCCCAAAAUCCCACCCUUAUUCCAUGGAGGUGUCUCUAGCAGCCAGUAGGAGCCGCUAGUGCGGCAACAAGGACAUGAGCUUGUCACCGUCUUCCCCAACCAUGUGCACUGUGUUUUUUUUGGGGAAUGCAGGAUGAGGACUCUGCAGUGGAGGAAACCUUCAGUUAGUGGAGUUACACACAUUCACUGAGCAGCACUGAUGGACCUAUCCAAGGUUAAGUCCCUUGCUCGAGGGCACGUCAGCAGUGGCAAUGAAGGAA
Molecule: long non-coding RNA, 395 nt
Organism: Seriola aureovittata
Lineage: Eukaryota; Metazoa; Chordata; Actinopteri; Carangiformes; Carangidae
Exons: 3
Source: RefSeq, a predicted model, not a curated record